GAGGACCGGAUGCAGGCAGCAUCUCUUUGUGCCCUGUCCUGGUUAAUGUCACGCUCCGCAUCACAUAGUACAUCCAUUGUAUCAAAGUCGUCAUCCGAUGACAUAGUCAAGCAACUAGAAUUUUCAGAACUUGAUGAUGGAGAUGUUGGGAUAUCUAAAUCCAACAACUCCAAGUAGUCACCUUCAAAAAAAUCAUCCAUCUCAGCAACGAUCUCUUCUGAAUAAUGGACCAAGGGUUUUCCUGCAACUGCCAAUUCUACCA
RNAcentral lists this unclassified non-coding RNA (262 nucleotides) under Hevea brasiliensis (rubber tree). The record is from RNAcentral. Lineage: Eukaryota; Viridiplantae; Streptophyta; Magnoliopsida; Malpighiales; Euphorbiaceae.